This 201-nucleotide ribosomal RNA is filed under the name uncultured bacterium. RNAcentral describes it as "partial 16S ribosomal RNA". It matches the Rfam family "Bacterial small subunit ribosomal RNA", at positions 524 to 723 of the family's 1533-position model. The record is from RNAcentral.
GACAGAGGGUGCAAACGUUGUUCGGAAUUACUGGGCGUAAAGCGCGUGUAGGCGGCUAAGUAAGUCGGGCGUGAAAUCCCACGGCUCAACCGUGGAAGUGCACUCGAAACUGACAUAGCUAGAGUCCUGGAGAGGAAGGUGGAAUGCUUGGUGUAGAGGUGAAAUUCGUAGAUAUCAAGCGGAACACCGGUGGCGAAGGCG